AACGCACAUUGCGCCUCCUGGCAUUCCGGGAGGCAUGCCUGUUCGAGCGUCAUCAAAUCCUCUCAAGCUCAUGUUUAUUCAUGACUUGGUAUUGGAGCUGGAGUGGACAUAGGCCAUUCCUAUCCGAAUUCCAAUGGCAAAGUUGUCUGCAUCGAUAAGCGUAGUGAUCAACAUUAUGUUUCGCUGUGAGGUAGAUAAUCUUCCGCCGUUAACCACCCCCAAUUUUAAGUGUUUGACCUCGGAUCAGGUAGGGAUACCCGCUGAACUUAA
This 270-nucleotide unclassified non-coding RNA is filed under the name uncultured fungus. RNAcentral describes it as "sequence contains ITS2". Lineage: Eukaryota; Fungi. The record is from RNAcentral.